Non-coding RNA from Pelobates cultripes (western spadefoot toad), 233 nucleotides. The record is from the annotation of a GenBank genome assembly. NCBI's taxonomy places the organism in Eukaryota, Metazoa, Chordata, Amphibia, Anura, Pelobatidae.
GCGUCUCUUACUUGGACGACUAGAACCCGUGGUGGUCCUAAAGCCCUCAGCAAUAGCCUGAGAAAUCCAGAGCUUAAGGUCAUCUUGAGGAGAGCUCCUACUAGGGGCAUCAGCGACUUCCAACAAGCAUUCCCUGCAAAGGUUCCUUCCACUCGGAGCGGAUGAAGAACAAUUAAUGCAUUUAUUUGACUUAUCCCGAGAUUUUCUCGCUGGAGAGUCCAAAUGAACGCUGG